This 212-nucleotide unclassified non-coding RNA is filed under the name Hevea brasiliensis (rubber tree). The record is from RNAcentral. Lineage: Eukaryota; Viridiplantae; Streptophyta; Magnoliopsida; Malpighiales; Euphorbiaceae.
AAAAAAUCGCUACAUAAAAUGGGUACUACCACUAAUGUUGUAAACCAGGGGGGAAGAUAAAUGAGGAAAGACUUGUACAUUUCCCCUGCAGCCAUGUCAGCUUCAUGCUGCUGUUGUUGAGACAAAUGAACAUCUCCCUUAGACUGGGAUUGUCGAAUAAAUCCAAAGCUGCAUAGUAAAGAUUUUCUGGAAUGCCUUCUAUCUCAUCCAAA